Molecule: ribosomal RNA, 279 nt
Filed under: uncultured bacterium
Lineage: Bacteria
Description: partial 16S ribosomal RNA
Rfam family: Bacterial small subunit ribosomal RNA
Source: RNAcentral
UGCCAGCCGCCGCGGUAAUACGGAGGGUGCAAGCGUUAAUCGGAAUUACUGGGCGUAAAGCGCGCGUAGGCGGUUUGUUAAGUGAGAUGUGAAAGCCCAGGGCUCAACCUUGGAACUGCAUCUCAUACUGGCAGGCUAGAGUACGGUAGAGGGAGGUAGAAUUCCAUGUGUAGCGGUGAAAUGCGUAGAGAUGUGGAGGAAUACCAGUGGCGAAGGCGGCCUCCUGGAUCGAUACUGACGCUGAGGUGCGAAAGCGUGGGGAGCAAACAGGAUUAGAUA